Molecule: small RNA, 123 nt
Filed under: Salmonella enterica subsp. enterica serovar Agama
Lineage: Bacteria; Pseudomonadati; Pseudomonadota; Gammaproteobacteria; Enterobacterales; Enterobacteriaceae
Description: partial RtT sRNA
Rfam family: RtT RNA
About the family: This family represents a bacterial cis-regulatory element known as RtT RNA. The exact function of RtT is unknown although it is thought that it may be involved in changing the cellular response in relation to amino acid starvation.
Source: RNAcentral
UAUCUCUCCGUACGGGGAAGGAUGAGAAGCUUCGACUAAGGUUCGAUUCGAGCGCAGCGAGAAAGCGUUGCCGCAGGCAACGACCCGAAGGGCGAAGCGCGCAGCGCUGAGUCAUCCUUCCCC